Long non-coding RNA from Corythoichthys intestinalis (scribbled pipefish), 2408 nucleotides. RefSeq lists it as uncharacterized. The record is from RefSeq and is a predicted model, not a curated record. Lineage: Eukaryota; Metazoa; Chordata; Actinopteri; Syngnathiformes; Syngnathidae. The transcript is spliced from 4 exons.
UUCAGCACAUAUUAAAAUAUAUAAGUCCGUUCAAAAAUCUUCUGGUGAUGCAAUGGAUUUGGUUCCCCAUUUGUAUUAUUAUUCUCAUGUUUACCUGUAGAGGGAGCUACUGUACAAGCAAUGCAGGGGGGACGAGGAACCCAAAUCUGCUUCCUCACGGGAGUAACAUCACAGACAUGCGCAAUUGCUCAGUGGCAAUCGAGAAAGCAGAGAGAUAAGACAUAACAGCAAUGGCUGAAGCGGAGAAAGAGGGAGCGCGAAAGAUUAUUGACGCACCAAAGACAUUGAAAGCAGGCAUAUGGAGACAUUUUGGCUUCUAUGAGAAUCAAUGCCAAAUCCUCAGUUUUCCAAGGUCACAGCGUCUGAACAUUCUGGAUUGCUGACUUCUUCUAACAAAACAUCUGUAAGACCUUGAAAAAAGUCUCCUGUGAAGAUUUGCAUGCAAUACGUGAGAAACUCUGUGGUCGUAAAGUGCCGCAUGAGCUGGAUAUGGAUGAACUAAAACAAGGUCCUGUGUUAUGGCUCAGUCACCUUCCCAUCCUCCUCCACCUCCUCACUGACUCUGCUGUGCACACCUGUCACCAAUCUCCACACCUGCCUCCACUUCCCAAUCAACUGCCUGCCACUAUAAGAGACCAGUCUGCACGUCAUUCAAUGCCAGAGCUUCACCUCACCACUUAUGCAAUACAGAGCCAACUCAGCCUUCAAGCACAAUCAAGAAAUCUGCUGAGCCACCAACUUUCCCUUUUUUCCCCUUUGUCUAAUAAACACUAGUGAUGGGACCUCAUGAAGCGUGUCGACACAGUGACACACUGUGUUGACACAGUGUGGCUACUUUGUCAUUGAAUACUGACACCUGCUGGACAUAAAAAAUCCCUACAGGCUGACACUGACACUGACACUGAACAGACCCUACUCACAUGACGUCACAACCACGCCUCCGCGCCAUAUUGUCCGUCUACUCGUCGUGUUGAUGCAUUACCGCUACGUAAAUUCCUCCUAUUAUGGCGCGUUUUUCUGCUCGUUAACAUUAAUAAUCAAAAUGGUGAAGGCGUGUGUGGCGGUUGGUUGCAAUAACAGAGAAGAUAGACGGAGAGACUUGAAGUUCUACCGUAUUCCGAGAGACGCAGAGAGGAGAGUGAGAUGGACUGCUGCAAUUCGAUGAGAAAACUGGGCUCCAAACGAUUACCACGGAUUAUGUAGUAGUCAUUUUAUAUCUGGUAAAAUGCAUUUAAUAUAUAUUUAGAGGGUUUUGGGCUGACAACCACAAUUAAGAUCAUUGCGAGGCUAAUCGCCGACAAAUCAAAUUCAAGAUGCUUAUUUCUUCCACCAUCAUUACAUUUUGAAUAAUAUUUAGCUGGUACCAAGUGAAAGAAGCUGGCCUCGUCUACGGAUCAUCAGUUAAACAGGUGUGUCCAAACCUUUUGCAAAGGGGGCCAGAUUUGGUGUGGUAAAAAUGCGGGGGGCUACCUUGGCUGAUUUACAUAGAACAAUAUAUUUAAACAAAUUUUAGCAAGCCCUUCUGUGUGUCACAUUUGCUUUAUUAUUUUUUUAAAUUCAUAAUUUCAACAGUCUCGUCUUUGUGGCUUUCUCUUUCGACACUCGGACUCUUGCGAAAUACUGCUGCUGUGAAAAAAUAAACUAGCUUCAAGUUGCUAUAAUUUCUCGCUGCGUAUCUUCCCUGUAAUGUCGUACAUGUCAGCGUGUCUUGUUUAGUAAUAUUGCGUCACAUCAAACUCUUUGAAAACAGUGACUGUCUCUUUGCAAAUGAGGCAGACACAGUUGUUGUGUGUUUUAUUGAAGAAAUAGUCCAAUACCCACCUAUCCUUGAAGCGUCGGCCAUCGCAGUCAACUUAAAAAAAAUUUUUUUUUUAUUGUCGCCAUUUUAGUAAUCACACAGGGUAAUGUUGCUUAGAGUGCUGCUCUUAAAGAUUUUCAAACUUUCGUGAGAAUAGGCUGAUUUUGUGUGGACAAGAUAGUUGUAGAUAUCAGGGUAGCAGAUGUCAGGCAGAGAGGGCGAAGACAGCGGGUUGAAAAAUAUCGAUUUAGGCAUCAACUAUGGAUCUGGCGAAUGGAUAGACUGAAGCUUUUCCACAUAACGCCUUUUAUGCAACGCAUCCAAUGAGUUUACAGCGUCUGAAAACACCGGGGCUUCCAUGAAUUGCUCUAUAAACUGAACGACUUAUUGAAACCAUUGAGAAUAGGGCUAAACAGAGACGGGCAAUAUGGCGGCCGGAUACAGCGACACGUCAUUCUGUGACGUUGGUGAGUAGGGUCUAUUGAUGGCAUAGCACGUAAAAUCAAAUCAUUUAUGUCUGUGCAUUCAUAUUGCAUUAUUCAAUAUCUUUAAAUUAUGUGAACAUAUAAUGUGAAAAUGUAAGUAAUAAUGAAUGGGUGAAUGAGGAUGC